RNAcentral lists this ribosomal RNA (497 nucleotides) under uncultured bacterium. RNAcentral's name for it is "partial 16S ribosomal RNA". It matches the Rfam family "Bacterial small subunit ribosomal RNA", at positions 28 to 507 of the family's 1533-position model. The record is from RNAcentral.
GAUGAACGCUGGCGGCGUGCCUAAUACAUGCAAGUCGAGCGAACAGACCAGGAGCUUGCUCCUCUGACGUUAGCGGCGGACGGGUGAGUCACAUGUGGAUAACCUACCUCUAAGACUGGGAUAAUUUCGGGAAACCGGCUCUAAUACCGGAUGAUCUAUUGCCCCGCGUGGGUCACUAGUUAGAUUCGGUUUUUGGGUCUCUAAUAGCUGGAUCCGCGCCGCUUUAGUUGGUUGGUACGGAAAAGGUUUACCAAGGCGAGGAUGCGUAGCCGGCCGAAGAGGGGGGUCGGCCACACUGGAAGUGAGCCAGGGACCAGACUCCUACGGGAGGCAGCAGACGGGAAUCUUACGCAAUGGGCGAAAGCCUGACGGAGCAACGCCGCGUGAGUGAUGACGGUCUUCGGAUCGGAAAGCUCUGUUAGUAGUGAAGAACAAAUGUGUAAUUAACUAUGCACGUCUUGACGGUACCGAAUCAGAAAGCCCCGGCUAACUACGUG